UAGCGGCAGGCUUAACACAUGCAAGUCGAGGGGUAUAGUAGCAAUACUAGAGACCGGCGCACGGGUGCGUAACGCGUAUGCAAUCUACCUUUUACAGAGGGAUAGCCCAGAGAAAUUUGGAUUAAUACCUCAUAGCAUUGCAGGAUGGCAUCAUCCAGCAAUUAAAGUCACAACGGUAAAAGAUGAGCAUGCGUCCCAUUAGCUAGUUGGUAAGGUAACGGCUUACCAAGGCUACGAUGGGUAGGGGUCCUGAGAGGGAGAUCCCCCACACUGGUACUGAGACACGGACCAGACUCCUACGGGAGGCAGCAGUGAGGAAUAUUGGACAAUGGGCGCAAGCCUGAUCCAGCCAUGCCGCGUGCAGGAUGACGGUCCUAUGGAUUGUAAACUGCUUUUGCACAGGAAGAAACACUCGGUCGUGACCGAGCUUGACGGUACUGUAAGAAUAAGGAUCGGCUAACUCCGUGCCAGCAGCCGCGGUAAUACGGAGGAUCCAAGCGUUAUCCGGAAUCAUUGGGUUUAAAGGGUCCGUAGGCGGUUUAAUAAGUCAGUGGUGAAAGCCCAUCGCUCAACGGUGGAACGGCCAUUGAUACUGUUAAACUUGAAUUAUUAGGAAGUAACUAGAAUAUGUAGUGUAGCGGUGAAAUGCUUGGAGAUUACAUGGAAUACCAAUUGCGAAGGCAGGUUACUACUAA
RNAcentral lists this ribosomal RNA (695 nucleotides) under uncultured soil bacterium. RNAcentral describes it as "bacterial SSU rRNA". It matches the Rfam family "Bacterial small subunit ribosomal RNA", at positions 37 to 735 of the family's 1533-position model. The record is from RNAcentral.